CCAAGUUCCACAGCUCAGUGAAAACAGUGGAAUCAGUUGAAUUUCUUAAAUGAAGAAUACAGCAGGGAAAAAAGAAAAGGAUGAAGUUCUUUGGAAAAACAGUUAAUUUUUCUCUCAUUGUUAAGACAUCACCUUUACCUUGAAGCCAUUUCCAACAUGGAAGAUUUUUGCCUUUUGCUCUUAAGAAGAGGCCUCUGAACAUUUAUUACUAAAUUUAGGGAAGUACAGG
This is a long non-coding RNA of Vidua macroura (Pin-tailed whydah), 229 nucleotides long. RefSeq lists it as uncharacterized. The record is from RefSeq and is a predicted model, not a curated record. The transcript has 3 exons. Lineage: Eukaryota; Metazoa; Chordata; Aves; Passeriformes; Viduidae.